AGAAAACAACAUUAGAACACCACAGUAACAUCAACCGGGGUCCCCAAUUAACAUGGAACUGCAAUAUCGGUUAGUACUGCCUACUCCCAGAUUUCUUUCAUGUGGUAGAGGAGUAAAGCUCUAUCUAACUUCAGCUAUAGAUUUUUUGGGUUUCCUGUCACCAGAAAAACUUAACCUAAUCCUAAGACAAGGCUCUUUCUAAAAGUUUCGUUUGAGGGAACUAGUUUUUCUAUCAAUGCCUCAGCAACGAUUUACUCAAUGUCUACAAUGAGCAUUUGACAUUGGUUAAUCCAUUUAAUCCUUAAAGCAACAUUAUGUAUGAUUGUCUUCAUUUUGCAGAUAAUGUUUCUCAGAAAAAUAAUUUGCCAAGUGAGUUUGUGUGGCAGAACCUAAAGGCAAGUCCAUGUCUCACGUGGAGCCAAGACCAUGCUUUUUCCCAUGUCUCACAGCCACUCUAGAGAACUUUUAGGAGACAUUCAGUUGGCAGUACGUGCAUGACACUUUACCACCGAAGAUUGUGUCUAUUCUUCCAUUGCCUUGAAUUUGACCAGUAGUCACAAGGAGAGGCACUGGAGCACCAGAUAUAUGAAUGAAGAAACUACCUUGGCAUCCAGCCUAGUUGAGCCUUUGGAUAAGUCCAGCCUCAGCCCUAUCAUACUGCAACUGCAUGAACGACCCCAAAGAAGAGCCAUCCAGGUGAGCCCAGCCAACACACAGAAUAUACAGAUAAUAAUAAAUUGUUGAACUAGGAUAUUAAAUGUGUGGGCUACGCAAUAAUAGAUAAUAGGAACACUGCAAGUGACAAUGUACUGACAUGCGGAGAGUACUGGGGACCACUAAUCAACAGGUUUUUUGAGGCAUUUGACAAAGCAAGGAAAGAGAAACAGAAAACUCAAAACAGUACUCCCAUUCUCCUCUUUAGCAUCAACCAAAACUUUCCAAGAACAGAGGACAGAACCAAAUGUUUCUCCCAAAGUGGCUGCCUUGGGAGCUGCUUGCUUUACCUUCAAUAAAAAUGCAAUUGUAAGAGAGGAAAUUUCAGUGAAACCCCAUCUCUACUAAAAAAUACAAAAAAUUAGCUGGGCGUGGUGGCGGGUGCCUGUAGUCCCAGCUA
RNAcentral lists this long non-coding RNA (1114 nucleotides) under Homo sapiens (human). RNAcentral's name for it is "HSALNT0052341". Lineage: Eukaryota; Metazoa; Chordata; Mammalia; Primates; Hominidae. The record is from RNAcentral.